UGGGGAAUUUUGCGCAAUGGGCGAAAGCCUGACGCAGCAACGCCGCGUGAGUGAUGAAGGCUUUCGGGUCGUAAAGCUCUGUCAAGGGGAAGGAAGUGUAUUGUGGUUAAUACCCAUGAUGCUUGACGGUACCCCUAAAGGAAGCACCGGCUAACUCCGUGCCAGCAGCCGCGGUAAUACGGGGGGUGCAAGCGUUGUUCGGAAUUAUUGGGCGUAAAGCGCGUGUAGGCGGUUUGUUAAGUCUGAUGUGAAAGCCCCGGGCUCAACCUGGGAAGUGCAUUGGAAACUGGCAGACUUGAAUACGGGAGAGGGUAGUGGAAUUCCUGGUGUAGGAGUGAAAUCCGUAGAUAUCAGGAGGAACACCGGUGGUGUAGACGGCUUACUGGACGGCCACUGACGCUGAGACACGAAAGCGUGGGUAGCAAACA
This 428-nucleotide ribosomal RNA is filed under the name uncultured prokaryote. Its description in RNAcentral is "bacterial SSU rRNA". It matches the Rfam family "Bacterial small subunit ribosomal RNA", at positions 355 to 774 of the family's 1533-position model. The record is from RNAcentral.